Molecule: long non-coding RNA, 3289 nt
Organism: Heterocephalus glaber (naked mole-rat)
Lineage: Eukaryota; Metazoa; Chordata; Mammalia; Rodentia; Bathyergidae
Source: RefSeq, a predicted model, not a curated record
GUUCAGUCCCCAGUACCAGGAAAAAAAAAAAAGUCUGAAAACCAAACUGGGGGGACUAAUCGGGAUUGUCAAUUUCUGUGGUGUCAAAACUCCCACCAUGGUCAAUGUCUGAUGUCACUGAAGUAAGCCUUAGGAAGUUACAAGCUGCCGCAAGCUGGCCCCAGCAUACCAAUGUGGCCAUGCCUGCUCCCAGCUUAAAAUCUCCUCAGUCUUCCCAAAAUGAGACAGAAUGCAGUUCUAGUCUUUGCUUGACACUUUUUAAAGCCUUACAACUUGAAAGCACCUUCCCCAGCAAGAUGUUUCCCUGGGCCCCUUGCACUGUUUAUAUUGAACCACAUAUGCAUUCUAGAUACAUCACGCAUACUCAGUCCUCUCAACUUUCUUCAUAUUGCCCUCUCUGCUUUGGAUAUAUUUCUUCUUGAUCUGUAUCUUUAGCCCUGGACAGAAAAGCCCCAAGCCACACAAAGCCCAGCUGUACAAAGCCCUCUGGUACUCUCAGGGACUGUUGUACUCAGGGAUUCAUUCAUUGACUUUUUUCUGGCUUGACCAGAACUCUGCUCUCUUUGUGCUACAGAGCUAAUAACAAAUUCAAACCCAAGAAGUUACCACCAGCGACAGUGGUGGCUCUACCUGAGCCCCUGAAAGAAGCCACGGGCUCCAUCAAUAGAUGCCUCCAUGAGGGAAAGCUUGUUGUGUGCUAUGUAACAUGUUGCAGUUAAGAUCGACACAAGUCUUCAGGUUUAAACGUUCUUUCCAGUCCACAGAGUGCUUCCAUGUGCAUUUUUCCACUUGAUCUUUUCAACCUCAUAAGGUAUGUUAUGUAUACUCUGAUCCCCAUUUUAAAGAUGAAGAAAGUAGGCUUCAAGGAGAUACAUGGUUUGUAUACAAGUGAGUUAUUGGUAAACUAAGGAAUGAAGACUUCAACCCAUGUUUUCUUUCUUUCUUUUUGUUUUCUGGUACCAGGAAUCAAACUCAGGACUUUGCACUUCCCAGGCAGGCACAGUGCCACUGAGCUACAUCUCUGACCCUCAACCCAUGUUUUCUACCCCUGAGUUCUUUGUUCUUUCACCUUGAUCCACUAUAAUGCAUUCACCUGGAGCUGGGAGGGUGGAUGCUGGGAAUGACCUCACUCAUGACAGGGAGAUCUAAACUUUUUCAAGCCAAAGAGAGGGCCAGUGAGACUUCUAGGAGGCCAGUGGACAGAGGCCAGCUUGCAGCCUAGAGCAAGUCCUUGGGGACCCAAGAGACCAGGGCCACCAUGUUUAGGCCUGAGGGCAGGACUCACAAGGGCAGCCCACAUGCAGAGCAGAAAUGUAGGCACCUUGAGGGCCUCUCCAUAAAUAUGGAUGCAAGACAUAGUCCAACUUGUUCUACUACCAGCUGAAGUUAAACUAGCUUCAUUUAGGAGCCAGCCUGGAGUGGAUUGGGGCAGCAGGUUCCCCAGAAACAACUUCUGAAUUCCUGAACAAACAUUUCAGCAAGGCAAAGGAACACUGGCCCAUUCUCUUCCAACUGAAGACCAAAUUCCAUGAAGAGCACAUGUUUUCAAGGUAUUUUUAUGACUAUGGCUUUACAACUAGUUAUCUGUAUUCCUCUGGUUAACAGAAGUCAAGUGUGUGUGUGUGUGUGUGUGUGUGUGUGUGUAGUGUGUGUGUGUUAGUGGGGACUGAACAAAAGGCUUUGACCCUGAGUUUUAUCCUGAGGAAAGAUACACAAGUCUUGUACUCUGCCAGAGGGCUAAAGAAAAGGCACCCCAAGAAGAGGACACGCUGAUGCAUCUGGAAAGAAAGACGUAUUCUCGAGACCUAAAGGAGAAGGGAAACAUAAAGGAGCGGUUCACACAGAAACCUGACCACAGAUAAACUGCUCCUGUGACCCUGGUGCUCAAGGACAAACAGACUGCAAACUGUGCUGUUUUCCAGAAAAAAUCCUUUGAGCUUUCUGCCUCCCUAUCUCUGCCCUUCUCUUCACCUCCCCCACACACCCCAUCCAACUUCAUUUGCCCUUAGCCCCAGGAAAAACUGGUUUAUGGAGGAAACUAUUAUCUUGUUUUUUCCAAUUGGAAAAAAUAAAAAUAGUCCUAACCAAGAACUCCGGUCAUCCACUAACUCACCAUUGGCCCUCAGGGAUGGGGAAGAAAUAACAGCAUUGACUGGAGUCCGAGGCAGGAUGGCAAGGGGUAACAGCUUGACCUGUUCAUGGGACCAUUUUCAUACAGGGUUAAAUGCCUCAACUUCCUGCCAAGCCCUGUGACAACUUCCUGACAAGGCAUGGUCACUUUUCCAAUAAUACUGAACAAAAGAAAAGCAAGAACCUGAAAUCACUGGCCAAAGAAGUUAAGAGACAUGGAGUGCAAAGUCACUGAGGUGUUUAGCAGCACUGCAAAGAGUAAAAGUCAAGUCAGAAGAGCUCUUCCCACCAAGCCUGCUGGCCCUGGGUACAAGAAUGUAAACUUCCAGGGGGUGGAGAAGUGUCCUCUACAGAGCCCAUUCCUGUACUGCCCAAGCGAAACCGAAGAUUCAUGAAGCUGUAUUACAGAGAAUUCAGCACCAGGACAGAUAUGCACUUAGCCUGAACUCAUGGGUUUAGAGUUGUCUGCAUAGCAGGGCUGGUUACUGGUCUACCCCACUCCUUGAUCCAUGGGAAGGGGGAUCAGGUUCCAAAGUGCAUCAGGAAAUACUACAACAAAAUACAGGUGUCUUGGAUGAUCACACACACACGUCCCUGACCACGCUCUGGACCACUGUCUUCACAUCUACCCAGUGCAAAUGACUCAACAAAGAUGUCCUGCAGUGACAAACAGCCCAAACUCAGGGAGUGACUUCAGAUCAGAUAAGCCAGAGUGGUGCCAAUGUGACAGUACCUCUGUCCUUUAAGUUUAUAGGUGAGGUGGAGGGAGGGGGGUAACCAGAAAGUGAGCACCUACCAUGUAUCAGAUACCUGGAGAGCCACUUUACCUUUAUUAUUUCAUCUUUGAACCCAUCUCCAAGGUAGGUAUUAUCAGGAGCACCUAUUUAUGUAGGGGGAAACUGAUGAUGCAAAGCAGACUGAGGGAAGGAAACUGCUUGCAGGCUGGAAUUUUACACGGGAGAAGCAGGCUAGAAAUUAGAAAUAAAAGUCCUAUGCAGCUGCUGGGAAGUCAUCCCCACCGUCCACACCCAGGCCUAAGGUACGGAUCCGUGAGGAGCUGUAGGAGCAUGGGCUAUCAUCAAGAUUAGAUGCAGCUGAGUGUGGUGGUAUACCGGUGAUCCCAGCUAUUCAGGAGGCUGAGUUAGGAUCACAGGUUCAA